This 499-nucleotide ribosomal RNA is filed under the name uncultured bacterium. RNAcentral's name for it is "bacterial SSU rRNA". It matches the Rfam family "Bacterial small subunit ribosomal RNA", at positions 28 to 524 of the family's 1533-position model. The record is from RNAcentral.
GAUGAACGCUGGCGGCGUGCCUAACACAUGCAAGUCGAGCGUGAAGUUUUGGAAUGAUACUUCGGUAAAGUGAAGGAACGGAAAGCGGCGGACGGGUGAGUAACGCGUAGGUAACCUGCCCCAUACACAGGGAUAGCCUAGGGAAACCUGGAUUAAUACCUGAUAAUGCGAAGGAGUCACAUGACUUUUACGUCCAAAGAUUGAUCGGUAUGGGAUGGACCUGCGUCUGAUUAGCUGGUUGGUGAGGUAACGGCUCACCAAGGCAGCGAUCAGUAGCCGACCUGAGAGGGUAAUCGGCCACAUUGGAACUGAGACACGGUCCAAACUCCUACGGGAGGCAGCAGUGGGGAAUAUUGCACAAUGGGCGCAAGCCUGAUGCAGCAACGCCGCGUGAGCGAAGAAGGUCUUCGGAUCGUAAAGCUCUGUCCUUAGGGAAGAAACAAAUGACGGUACCUAAGGAGGAAGCCCCGGCUAACUACGUGCCAGCAGCCGCGGUAAA